This 64-nucleotide microRNA precursor is filed under the name Nicotiana tabacum (common tobacco). Its description in RNAcentral is "miR6148a stem-loop (nta-MIR6148a)". The record is from miRBase by way of RNAcentral. Lineage: Eukaryota; Viridiplantae; Streptophyta; Magnoliopsida; Solanales; Solanaceae.
ACCUAGAACCUACGUCGAUCGAUUGUUCUUAACAAGAACAAUUGAUUGACGUUGGUUUUGGUUC